Molecule: long non-coding RNA, 578 nt
Organism: Brienomyrus brachyistius
Lineage: Eukaryota; Metazoa; Chordata; Actinopteri; Osteoglossiformes; Mormyridae
Exons: 4
Source: RefSeq, a predicted model, not a curated record
CUAGACUUGAACUGCUAUAAAAUCCUGCUUAAGCUGAGAGACAGAGAAGAGAGGGACAGGAGAAGGAGGGAUACUCCUCCACCAUCUCCUUUUGAAACAGACUCUUUCAGUUAGCUGGCACUUUGUUUGGUGGAGCAGCUGGACUUUGUAACGACUGGGAUUUUUUUUGUUUUCACUCUUACCUUGUGUCCACAUAUUUUCCAGUGCCCAGUUGCUGUGGACUUGAUGGCAGCUUUGUUUACGCCCCAGACCAGGAGUCACGCAGAAGGUGAUCACAGGAACAUGUCCAAGGUUAAUGGAACAAAUGUCUUAUGCUGUCAUGGAAAACAUGGAGCCUGCAAGUGCGUGUCUGCGUCAGUUCUCUGGUGGGAGCAUCAUGCGAAAGGACAUGGAGGGAUGAAGGGAAGCCUGGGUAACUCGGAGUGGCCCUAUGAGGCCGUCGACACAGAGUAAUCCUGGCCAUAAAUAAUCCGCCCAGGCGCUGUUCCUGUAUCCCCAAGAAGUGCUUUCUUGGAAAUAUUGCACUGAGCCAGCUCGACCUCUGAGCCCUCCUCAGAGAGAUGCAUAAUGCAGAGGCC